AAUAGAUACCCGGGUAGUCCACGCCGUAAACGUUGGGCGCUAGAUGUGGGACCUUUCCACGGUUUCCGUGUCGUAGCUAACGCAUUAAGCGCCCCGCCUGGGGAGUACGGCCGCAAGGCUAAAACUCAAAGGAAUUGACGGGGGCCCGCACAAGCGGCGGAGCAUGCGGAUUAAUUCGAUGCAACGCGAAGAACCUUACCAAGGCUUGACAUACACGAGAACGGGCCAGAAAUGGUCAACUCUUUGGACACUCGUGAACAGGUGGUGCAUGGUUGUCGUCAGCUCGUGUCGUGAGAUGUUGGGUUAAGUCCCGCAACGAGCGCAACCCUCGUCGCAUGUUGCCAGCACGUUAUGGUGGGGACUCAUGUGAGACUGCCGGGGUCAACUCGGAGGAAGGUGGGGAUGACGUCAAAUCAUCAUGCCCCUUAUGUCUUGGGCUUCACGCAUGCUACAAUGGCCGGUACAAAGGGCUGCGAUGUCGUAAGGCGGAGCGAAUCCCAAAAAGCGGUCUCAGUUCGGAUUGAGGUCUGC
Molecule: ribosomal RNA, 531 nt
Filed under: uncultured bacterium
Lineage: Bacteria
Description: bacterial SSU rRNA
Rfam family: Bacterial small subunit ribosomal RNA
Source: RNAcentral